This 490-nucleotide ribosomal RNA is filed under the name uncultured bacterium. RNAcentral describes it as "partial 16S ribosomal RNA". It matches the Rfam family "Bacterial small subunit ribosomal RNA", at positions 30 to 507 of the family's 1533-position model. The record is from RNAcentral.
AUUGAACGCUGGCGGCAGGCCUAACACAUGCAAGUCGAACGGUAACAGGAAGCAGCUUGCUGCUUUGCUGACGAGUGGCGGACGGGUGAGUAAUGUCUGGGAAACUGCCUGAUGGAGGGGGAUAACUACUGGAAACGGUAGCUAAUACCGCAUAACGUCGCAAGACCAAAGAGGGGGACCUUCGGGCCUCUUGCCAUCGGAUGUGCCCAGAUGGGAUUAGCUAGUAGGUGGGGUAACGGCUCACCUAGGCGACGAUCCCUAGCUGGUCUGAGAGGAUGACCAGCCACACUGGAACUGAGACACGGUCCAGACUCCCACGGGAGGCAGCAGUGGGGAAUAUUGCACAAUGGGCGCAAGCCUGAUGCAGCCAUGCCGCGUGUAUGAAGAAGGCCUUCGGGUUGUAAAGUACUUUCAGCGGGGAGGAAGGGAGUAAAGUUAAUACCUUUGCUCAUUGACGUUACCCGCAGAAGAAGCACCGGCUAACUCCGUG